CUUGUAUCGAUGACCGUGCUGUGAAUUGGCAAAUCGGAUUUGUUUUUAGCCGCCAACAGCGCCAAAUGUCACAAAAUGCCCCCAGCUUCCAACUCUCUGCCCUGGAAAUAAUGUAAACUUGAUGGAUGAAUUGAUGGAGAGACAAUAGCAAAUACAACAUGCAACAUGCCACGAGGUAUGUUAAUAUGUACUUCUGGUACGGAAUGAAUACUUGUGUGUAGUUUCUAUGGGAAUACGUGUGCAUACUGAGGGGAAUUCUAGUAGUUAAUGCAAAAAGCAUUGAAGAAGAUAUGUCGGUGUUUUUCGUAUAUUAUAAUUAAAAGGCUGCAUUCUAAUGCAUUAUAGGGAUAGGUUUCUAAAUAUUUGUAUCUAUAAAGUUAUGAUACAUAUUUUUGUAUGCCAUGGAGUUUCCACUACGGAAAUCCUGUUCUACGAGCUAUUGUCGUGAUCUUUAAAACAGGCACAUCCAAGCAUCCCGCAGCAUCACCAUCAAUCGAAAAAAGUACAUUUAUAUUAGAUUAUUGUGGUAUAGCCCUGAUAUACUCCCCAACCAUCUGAAUUAUUCAGCCCAUCAUCAGCAUCAGCCCUUUUGAUUUCUACUUUUGGAAUCAUCGCCACUGCAAACAUCAUCGCCUCUACAUAUUUUUCAUUCCUCUUCAAAGAUUUUUGCACUUUUCAUGAAUGACCCCACACCAUUUAAAAUUUCUUGCAUUUGUUUCUGGAUUCUGCCACACACCAAUGAUAAUUAUAAAGCAAUUAUUUUCGAGCAAAAAAAUCCUUUUAAUAACAUUUCUGCAAAUGCCACAACGCUCUCCCAGCAGUAGCAACUUCUCCCUGAGACAAUGAACAUUUUCGUUUUGAGAUUGUGGGUAGGGGUAGGGGAAAAUGCAUAUGUAUGUAUGUAUGUAUAUGCCAUUCGUGAGCAACGGCAAGGCUGUGCGUUGCCAAUGUGAAAAUGACAGUAACUGUUGGUAAUUUGAAGACUACCGGGUACUCGAAGAGUAAAUAGGGUUAUUGUAUUUGUAUGUAACACACAGAAGGAAACGUUUCCGACCCCAUAAAGUAUAUAUAUUCUUGAUCAGCAUCAAUAGCCGAGUCGAUUGAACCAUGUCUGUCCGUCCGUCCGUCUUUCCGUCUGUCCGUCCGUCUUGUUGAGUUCCUGGAUCUCAGAGACCAUAAAAACUAGAGCCACCAAAUUGUGCAUCCAGACUUCUGUAUGCUCACACUGUUACAAGUAUAUUUAAAAAAUGAGCCACGCCCCCUUCCGCCCCCGCAAAAGUGCGAAAACCUCUUAAAUUUACAAUUUUGCAGAUAAAAGAAAACUUAAAACGCCAUUCCUUAGGGUAUGGCCAUAUCUAUCAAAUCACCAAAUUGGGAUCCGAUUGGAUCAUUAUUAUAGCCAGAAUGGAGAACUUAAUUUGCAGUGGCUAAACCCACCCUGUCCCGCAGCUUUUGUUGUUCUUUUUACAUUCUCUCAUUCACACUCUGCUUCUGCUUCACUCGGCCACUGCCUCUGCCGACUUUUAACUAACCCCGUCACGCAGCUUAUAUUUUUUUUUUUUUUUGUGAGGGGGCGCUGCCUCUGCCUCUGCCUCGUGUCUGCAGUGUGUGGGUCUAGGUGCGUCAGAGCGUGUUGGUGUGAGAACUGUUGUAGAAAGAAAAUAUGUAAAAUUUGACAAAACAUCGCUAAGGUGCAGAUGUAUUACUGAGUGCCGGGUAUAAAAGUUGUGACGCGUAAGAAGCGUCUCAAACGUCCCUUCUCGUUGUAAAUGUUGUUGGGGGCUUGGUCGCGCUCCAAUUUGUUGACAAACCAUUUUUAUACCCGGUACUCGAAGAGUAAAUAGGGGAUAUUGUAUUUGUGUGAAUAACGGUUGUAUGUAAGAUACAGAAGGAAGACACUUCUCAUCCAUCAGUGUUGUUUUGAAGAUAAAAGAAAACGCCAUUCCGUAGGGAAUGACCAUAUCUAUCAGAUCACCAAAUUGGGAUCCGAUUGAAUCAUUAUUAUAGACACAAUGAAGAAAUUAAUUUCCAGUGGCUAAACCCACCCAGUCCCGCAGCUUAUAUUUGUUUUUUGCACAUUCUCUCAUUCACACUCUGCUUCGCUCAGACACUUCUCUGCGUCUGUCUCUGCCGCGUCUCUGCCCAGACUCUGCAGUGUGUGGCUCUAGGGUGGCGAGCUAAAGGAGCGUGUGGAUGUGAGUAGAUGAUGUUGAUGUAGAUGACAGAAAGGUGCAGAUGUAGUACUGAGUGACGGGUAUAAAAGUUGUGACGGGUAUAAAGCAUCUCAAACGUCCCUUCUCGUUCGUUCUGAGUACUAGGCUUAAGCUUUGAAAUGCAAAAAUUAUGCUUUUUGUGCGUUAUUUUUCACGAAAGUUUGAUUUUGAAAACUCAGGAAAAGUCGAAAUAAUAUAUCCUGUGUACACUAUUUUUUUUCAGGUGGGCAUCGUUUGAGGUAUUGCUCAUCAAAAUCUAUGGAGAGACGGCCAGCAAAAAUUAUUCAACCAACACUAAAAAAAAUUAGAAAAAGUCCAAAAAGAGUACCUGUUGAAGGGUUGCGCGCCCAGCUGCCAGAGAAUUUCUGGCCUCACACUCGAAAAAUAUUGGAAAAGAAAAUACUAAAAUUGAAUAAAAGCCUAAACCAUGUCGGUUUUAAGUAUUGAUCGAGCAUUUUAAGCUUAAUUUUAUAGAUGCUUUCAUCAGCUUUAUAGAAUGGCUAAGUUUAUUACAACCAGAUGUAAGACACUUAAGUUAUGUGAAAAAAAGAAGCGCUACCUCUAAAAAAACCGUAACAAAAGAAUACCAGACUUUUACUGUUUUUUCAGAGGUAGCGCUUCUUUUUUUCACAUAACUUAAGUAUCUUACAUCUGGUUGUAAUAAAAACUCUUAAAAAAACAAGUUCUGCCAUAGAAAAAAACCAUAAUUCUUUAAAAAUUUAAAGCGCUCAGUCUAUCAGAAAAAUGUUGAAUUUUGACGAGUAGUGUUAUUUGAACUGUAGACAGUAACGGAAAAAAAUACUAGGAAAUAAAAUUUCCAGGCCAGGUGUAGUUUCCCUUUUUUAAAAUGACAGAAAACAGUCAGAUAGAAUGAUAAAUAUAGUAUCCAAAUCGUUUAUUAAAAAUUCAUCAAAACCAACGCACAUUCGUGGCAGGCGCUGAAAGCGCUUCUCGUAGGCCUUUCUUUAGCCGUUUGGAAACUCAAUUUCAAUUUCUUGCCCCACGCUCUCCCCAACGAAAUGACAGCUUCUUUGCCCAGCAUCUUCUGCAACUUGCGACUUGGGUGAAUUGGCUGCCAUAAAUCUUCAUAGAACAUUGUUAACUGCCGGCAACAGUGAAUAAAAAAUAUAAAAAUAAAAAUUUCAUUACAAUUUUUUUUCUUCCCAAAUUGUUGUUGUUGUUUUUUUUCGCCCUUUCAAAGUACAGAAAUGUAAUAAAUCUUAUUCUCGUUAACGUAGCACGACAUUUAAGUUUCG
This 3469-nucleotide long non-coding RNA is filed under the name Drosophila guanche. The record is from RNAcentral. Lineage: Eukaryota; Metazoa; Arthropoda; Insecta; Diptera; Drosophilidae.